AAAUACUCUUCCAUAGGUUCCUGAAUCUCAUCUUUUACCAGGACAGAGAUUUCAAACAAAAGAUCCAGAGGAGCAAGGUGACAUUGUGGUGGCCUUAUACCCUUAUGAUGGCAUCCACCCAGAUGACUUGUCCUUCAAGAAAGGAGAAAAGAUGAAAGUUCUGGAAGAGCAUGGGGAAUGGUGGAAAGCUAAGUCCAUUUCAUCAAAGAGAGAAGGCUUCAUCCCCAGCAACUACGUGGCCAAGGUCAACACCUUAGAAACUGAAGAGUGGUUCUUCAAGGACAUAACGAGGAAAGAUGCAGAGCGACAGCUUCUGGCACCAGGGAACAGUGCAGGAGCUUUCCUUAUCAGAGAAAGCGAAACUUU
Non-coding RNA from Mus caroli (Ryukyu mouse), 366 nucleotides. The record is from RefSeq and is a predicted model, not a curated record. NCBI's taxonomy places the organism in Eukaryota, Metazoa, Chordata, Mammalia, Rodentia, Muridae.